Molecule: ribosomal RNA, 822 nt
Filed under: Triticum aestivum (bread wheat)
Lineage: Eukaryota; Viridiplantae; Streptophyta; Magnoliopsida; Poales; Poaceae
Description: partial small subunit ribosomal RNA
Source: RNAcentral
AUGUGUGUCCCAAAAGACCAAGGAGGAAUGGGUUUCCGUGAUAUACUCUUUAACCUAGCCUUGUUAGCGAAACAAGCUUGGCAUCUCUUAGAUAAUCCUGAAUCGUUAUGUGCAACAAUUCUAAGAGCCAAGUAUUUCUCGGAGGGCGAUUUGAUGAGCGCAAUACUAAAAAAGGGCUCCUCUUUUACUUGGCAAAGCAUUAUGGCGGGAGUGGAUUCUCUCAGGAAUGGAUAUAUAUGGAGAGUGGGUACCGGAGAAAAUAUUGACAUAUGGAAAGAUGCAUAGAUCCAAAAUUGUGCAGAUAGGAAAAUUAUUACACCUAGAAAAGGGAAUCUCCUGACGAAAGUUUCCGAUCUUAUUGACCCAGUUACGAAUUGUUGGGAUGAAGAGUUGGUGAGACAAAUGUUGUGGCCAAUUGAUGCUCAUAGAGUCCUAGCGAUCCCAAUCCCUAUGCACAAUAUGCCGGAUUUUAUUGCUUGGAGCUAUACCAAAAACGGUUUAUUCACUGUUCGAUCAGCUUAUGUGGAUGAAUGGAACAAACAACAUGGGAGGAAAUUGGAAUAUUCAAAUGGCAUGGGUAGAAGUAAGGUUAAUCCUAUUUGGGGUAAGAUCUGGAAAUUAACUCGUCCAACGAAGGUUAAAUUUUUUAUUUGGUGGACGCUUCACGGGACUCUACCGUCUCGCGUUACACUAGCCAACAGACAUAUAAAAACUCAAGCAGUCUGCGCAUGUUUGGAUGGAUCGAAGGACACGAAACAUGUGUUGUUUCUGUGCCAGAAGGCAAAGAAGUGUGGAGACAUUUGGGGUUGUAUGAAGUGGUAA